Molecule: long non-coding RNA, 494 nt
Organism: Eupeodes corollae
Lineage: Eukaryota; Metazoa; Arthropoda; Insecta; Diptera; Syrphidae
Exons: 2
Source: RefSeq, a predicted model, not a curated record
AGAAAUGAAACUGCGUAUAAACUUGUCAUUCCAUCAUCAUAUUAUGCACCUUUGUGAUUCUAAAAAUAUAUUUAAACGUCAUUUCUCAUAUUCUAACCAUCACCUUAUCCAGAAUGAAAAAUGUAAUGUCAAUAUACUCGACCGACUGUAGUGCAGUUUAUAUUUUUUUAACUGUCAAACGAGUUUUGUGUCAAUUUGAAUGAAACAAAACAAAAAAUACGAGUUUGUCACUGGCUUAGGUUCGUUCGGUUCGGUUCGGUUCAGUUAUAAGUUACAAACGUCAAAUGAGGUCUUUUGGGUAGAAUAAUGUAAAAACUGCGUGUAAUAAAUGUCAAAACGGUAAACAAGUUAAAGAAAGAUCACUUUAAAACGCCAUCACAUGAAGAGGGGUUGAAAUUCCUUAUAUUUCGCUUCAUUUGCAAUUCAUGCAGCAUAUAUUUAGAAGGUAUAUAAAAUUUACAAACGAAAAGGCUUUACAUAACCCUCGACUCGAC